This 1310-nucleotide ribosomal RNA is filed under the name Enhydrobacter aerosaccus. RNAcentral's name for it is "bacterial SSU rRNA". It matches the Rfam family "Bacterial small subunit ribosomal RNA", at positions 91 to 1400 of the family's 1533-position model. The record is from RNAcentral. Lineage: Bacteria; Pseudomonadati; Pseudomonadota; Alphaproteobacteria; Hyphomicrobiales.
AUUAGUGGCGGACGGGUGAGUAACAUUUAGGAAUCUGCCUAGUAGUGGGGGAUAGCUCGGGGAAACUCGAAUUAAUACCGCAUACGACCUACGGGUGAAAGGGGGCGCAAGCUCUUGCUAUUAGAUGAGCCUAAAUCAGAUUAGCUAGUUGGUGGGGUAAAGGCCCACCAAGGCGACGAUCUGUAACUGGUCUGAGAGGAUGAUCAGUCACACCGGAACUGAGACACGGUCCGGACUCCUACGGGAGGCAGCAGUGGGGAAUAUUGGACAAUGGGGGCAACCCUGAUCCAGCCAUGCCGCGUGUGUGAAGAAGGCCUUUUGGUUGUAAAGCACUUUAAGCAGGGAGGAGAGGCUAAUGGUUAAUACCCAUUAGAUUAGACGUUACCUGCAGAAUAAGCACCGGCUAACUCUGUGCCAGCAGCCGCGGUAAUACAGAGGGUGCGAGCGUUAAUCGGAAUUACUGGGCGUAAAGCGAGUGUAGGUGGCUCAUUAAGUCACAUGUGAAAUCCCCGGGCUUAACCUGGGAACUGCAUGUGAUACUGGUGGUGCUAGAAUAUGUGAGAGGGAAGUAGAAUUCCAGGUGUAGCGGUGAAAUGCGUAGAGAUCUGGAGGAAUACCGAAUGGCGAAGGCAGCUUCCUGGCAUAAUAUUGACACUGAGAUUCGAAAGCGUGGGUAGCAAACACGGAUUAGAUACCCUGGUAGUCCACGCCGUAAACGAUGUCUACUAGCCGUUGGGGUCCUUGAGACUUUAGUGGCGCAGUUAACGCGAUAAGUAGACCGCCUGGGGAGUACGGCCGCAAGGUUAAAACUCAAAUGAAUUGACGGGGGCCCGCACAAGCGGUGGAGCAUGUGGUUUAAUUCGAUGCAACGCGAAGAACCUUACCUGGUCUUGACAUAGUGAGAAUCCUGCAGAGAUGAGAGAGUGCCUUCGGGAAUUCACAUACAGGUGCUGCAUGGCUGUCGUCAGCUCGUGUCGUGAGAUGUUGGGUUAAGUCCCGCAACGAGCGCAACCCUUUUCCUUAUUUGCCAGCGGGUUAAGCCGGGAACUUUAAGGAUACUGCCAGUGACAAACUGGAGGAAGGCGGGGACGACGUCAAGUCAUCAUGGCCCUUACGACCAGGGCUACACACGUGCUACAAUGGUAGGUACAGAGGGUUGCUACACAGCGAUGUGAUGCUAAUCUCAAAAAGCCUAUCGUAGUCCGGAUUGGAGUCUGCAACUCGACUCCAUGAAGUCGGAAUCGCUAGUAAUCGCAGAUCAGAAUGCUGCGGUGAAUACGUUCCCGGGCCUUGCACACACCGCCCGUCAA